This 71-nucleotide transfer RNA is filed under the name Loxodonta africana (African savanna elephant). It matches the Rfam family "tRNA". Rfam says of the family: Transfer RNA (tRNA) molecules are approximately 80 nucleotides in length. Their secondary structure includes four short double-helical elements and three loops (D, anti-codon, and T loops). Lineage: Eukaryota; Metazoa; Chordata; Mammalia; Proboscidea; Elephantidae. The record is from Rfam by way of RNAcentral.
AGAGUGGUGGUUCAGUGGUGGAAUUCUCGCCUUCCAUGCAGGAGACCCAGGUUCCAUUCCCGGCCCAUCCA